Small nuclear RNA from Salmo trutta (river trout), 184 nucleotides. Its record names the gene U2. It matches the Rfam family "U2 spliceosomal RNA". Rfam says of the family: U2 is a small nuclear RNA (snRNA) component of the spliceosome (involved in pre-mRNA splicing). Complementary binding between U2 snRNA (in an area lying towards the 5' end but 3' to hairpin I) and the branchpoint sequence (BPS) of the intron results the bulging out of an unpaired adenosine, on the BPS, which initiates a nucleophilic attack at the intronic 5' splice site, thus starting the first of two transesterification reactions that mediate splicing. The record is from Ensembl. Lineage: Eukaryota; Metazoa; Chordata; Actinopteri; Salmoniformes; Salmonidae.
AAAAUUUUUGUAUUAAUAAAAAAAAUACAAAUCUGUUCUUAUCAGUUUAAUAUCUGAUACGUCCCCCAUCGGGGGACUACAUAUUAAAUAGAUUUUUCGAACAGGGAGUCGGAAAUGGGGCUUGCUCCGUCCGCUCUACGCAUCGACCCGGUAAUGCAGUACCUCCGGGAACGGUGCAACACUU